This 57-nucleotide transfer RNA is filed under the name Aethomys hindei (Hinde's rock rat). RNAcentral's name for it is "partial tRNA-Asn". It matches the Rfam family "tRNA", at positions 15 to 71 of the family's 71-position model. Rfam says of the family: Transfer RNA (tRNA) molecules are approximately 80 nucleotides in length. Their secondary structure includes four short double-helical elements and three loops (D, anti-codon, and T loops). Further hydrogen bonds mediate the characteristic L-shaped molecular structure. tRNAs have two regions of fundamental functional importance: the anti-codon, which is responsible for specific mRNA codon recognition, and the 3' end, to which the tRNAs corresponding amino acid is attached (by aminoacyl-tRNA synthetases). tRNAs cope with the degeneracy of the genetic code in two manners: having more than one tRNA (with a specific anti-codon) for a particular amino acid; and 'wobble' base-pairing, i.e. permitting non-standard base-pairing at the 3rd anti-codon position. The record is from RNAcentral. Lineage: Eukaryota; Metazoa; Chordata; Mammalia; Rodentia; Muridae.
AAGUAGGGUAUUUAGCUGUUAACUAAAAUUUCAUAGGUUUGAAUCCUAUCAAUCUAG